Molecule: RNA transcript, 6752 nt
Organism: Dermochelys coriacea (leatherback sea turtle)
Lineage: Eukaryota; Metazoa; Chordata; Testudines; Dermochelyidae
Gene: CDAN1
Gene name: codanin 1
Exons: 28
Source: RefSeq, a predicted model, not a curated record
AGUAGCGGCGCUGUCCUCGUGGUACAGCGUUCUAGCCCCGCCCACAGCUGGUGUGCCCCGCGCUUGAGGGACAGGCGGGGUCUGCCUCCGCCCCCUGCCGCAGCCGGUCUUGUCCGCGCGCCUGCUCGGCCGGCCGGCCGGCGGGCGGGCGGCCGGGGAUGGCGGCGGUUUUGGAGCUGCUGCUGCGAGAGGAGGUGGCGCCCGGUGCCGUGGUGCGGUGGCUCGACCACGGCUCCAGCCACCGCCCAGCCGAGGAGAACCAUGUCCAUGACAAGCUGGUGCCUCAUAGGUUGCUUCAGAAAGACUUUGUGCCUUUCCUGUUGAAUUUUUUAAGGGAACAGACUAGUCAGAUCUUGACCAAUGGGCCCUCUACCCCUGCUAAAACCCCAAAUUCUAAGACCCUCAGGAGCUUGGCUAACCAUGGGAACCAAAAGACAGGGUCAGAAAGGAAGAUAGGCAACUCAGCAGGGUCAUGCAGCAGCCGAAUGCAGCUCUUUCCCCAGAGGACCCCUGCUAGCUCCUGCACCCCAGAUGCUAGUUUUCCCUCUUCUGCUGCAUCAAGUGGCUCUUCUGCCUUUACUGGGUCAAGCUUGUCUGGCCCCAGCAGUGAUUUCCCCAGCACCAGCCCAAGCUUUGGUUGCAGCCCUGUGUUCAACCACAGUGAGAAACGUUCAUCUCAGAAGGCCAAUUUGGGCAGCUUCCUUAUGUCCGCACCAGAUGUCCAGCCAGUGAGGCGAGGUAGAAGAAAAGGCAACAGUUCUGCCAGUGCCAUUGGCCGGCAAGUGGCUCGGGACCUAGGGCGAAGCCUCACUGAAGAGGAGGAUGGGAAGGGUGACAGCACAUCGUUGAGUGGCGGGAGGAGGAAACGGAAUGAGGUGGGUCCUACCUCAGCCAAUUCCCCACCUGAUCAGCUGAACCUCAACAACUUGGAGGAGUUCCCACCCAUGAGUGCUGCUUCUGGCUUGACAAACAAAAGCAAGCCAUCAAGACGAAUCAACCCAACUCCAGUGAGUGCUGAGCGCUCCCACUCAAAACCUAAGAUGUGUUUCACUUCUACGCCAGUCAGCCAGUCUCCAGCUACUCGGUUUCCGUCUGGGACCAGUCUUGAGACCUUUGCUGCCAUCCAGGAAGGGAACGUUACCUCCAUAAGAGGGAGCAGCCUUCAAGAGGAGAGGGAGAUGCUGAAGAAAGAACGAUGCAAGUUGCUGCACCAAAUAUCUCCUGCAGGCCUGUGUCUGGAUCCCAGUACACCUACCAAGCCUAAUUACAGUUGGAGUGGAAGCCUCGCUACUGAUGGUCAGUUAGUGACCUCUGCAGAUCUCAGUAAAGUUUCCUGCAAGAAACAGCUGGAACAGCUGGCUCAGCUCUAUUCAUCUUGUAUAGCAGAAAACCUGGUUCCAAAUAUUUUCCUGGAGCUCUUCUUUGUCCUGCAGCUGCUAACAUCCAAGGGAACAACUUCUUCGGAAGAUGGUGAGAAUGACAUGGAAUUCCAUCAAGGAUGUAAAGAUGCAGUAGAGCGGCAGCAUUUUCGAAAUGUCCACAACUGUGUUUACUUUGCUGUGCAGGUCUUGGAUUGUCAGUUUGAAAUUAUUUCUCAUUUAGAGAAGGGGACAUUGAAACUUUUGGCUGAGAAUGAGCGGAUUGCAUCGUUUUCCCCUGGCUUGCAUGAGAGACUUAUGAAAGCUUAUGAGAGCAGCACAGCCAAGGUGUCCCUCCUGCUGCCUUCAUCUGUCCAGUCCGUUUCUUUCCAGCCAGAAACGGACAAUCGUUCUAACUUUCCAAGUGACAGGGCUUUUCAUAUAUUUAAGAAGCAAAGGGACAUCUUUUAUGAAUUGCUGCGUGAGUGGGAGGAUAACCAUGAAAAACCAGGCUGGGACUUUGAAAGAGUUCUGGGCAACAGGAUCAGAGCUAUGAUGAAUCACCUCACAGCAGCCUAUAAUCACAGCCACUUUGCCAGGCUCUUUCAGAAACAGCUUAUCCAGAUGUGUAAAGGUCCUAUUGGUGGUGGCACAAGUUGGGGAGAUACCCCAGACCAGGAUGUCCUUAAUAUGCUGGGUUCCGAUAACCUGAGCCGGCUGAAGAGGCUACAGGAGAGAUUUGUCGUUCCUCAGAGCAUCAGAGGGCCCUGCCCGCCCCCUGCCUUCCCAGGGUGCCAGCAGUUCUUCAGGGACUUCAUUCUCAGUGCAGGAAGCUACCAGUUCAACCAGCACCUGAUGGAUAGCCUCUGUCUAAAGAUACUUGAGCUGGAUGGCCUUACUUUGGUAGAGCAUGAACCUAGUGAUGGGGAGGCAGAUAUGGAUGAACAGGAUGAAAAAAAGCGUUUCACUGCGGCCCUGAUGACUCUCCGACUCCUUGCAAAGUUUCUAGGAUUUCUUGUUUUCCUGCCAUACCAAACAGUGGAACCACCAAGCAGAGACUUGCAGGAGUCUGCGGUGGCAUUAAGGAACCAAACCCUGCCUGUACUGGAUGUAUUGAAGCUCCUGAGACGAUCUAUCUUGAACCAACGUACUGUUCUUACCGUUCCUUGGGUUGUAGAGUUCCUCUCCCUUGUGGACCAUUUUGCUCCAUUCCUUGACUACUACGGGAGGGUAUUUUCCCUCCUGCUGCAGCUGUACAGGUGCCUGGUCCUUUCUGAAGAUAAGGAGAUGAGUUUCCUGAACAAGCUACUGAUACUUGCAGUGCUGGGCUGGCUUUUUCAGGUCCCCUCGGUCCCAGAGGAGUUGUUCUUCACCAGUGAAGUCAGACAGGAGGGGUUGAUGAGGGACACUAAGACAUCUGCUCAGGCUUUGGAUUCUGUGCCUUUGGUGGAUCAGCAGUUACUUUAUACCUGCUGUCCCUUCCUUGGUGAGCUACGGAAGCUGCUGGCUUCCUUUGUGGCUGGCAGUGGAGCAAAGAACGGUGGCUUUAUAAGGAAAAUAACCCCAACUGCUGCAGAGUCCUUGGCACCUAAACCUUCUAUCACACAGCAGAAAUUGCAGGUGGAGCUGGAGCAGGCCUUCUUCCACAACCAGCCUCCAUCCCUGCGGAGGACAGUGGAAUUUGUGGCAGAGAGGGUGGGAUCCAACUGUGUUAAGCACAUCAAGGCAACACUGGUAGCAGAGCUGGUCAAAAGGGCAGAGGUCAUGCUGCAGGAUAAGGUAAAGGAAGAAGAUGCUAAUCAUAGCAAACUGCUGGACGAGGUGUGUGCGCAGCUAUAUGACGAAGGGGCGCAGGCUCUCCACAAAGGCAGAGAAUUUUGCAGGUUGAAAGGGCCUGAGGCUGUGAGAGUGCUGCUGUCAGAAGAGACAUCAGCAGCAGUUUUGAGCAGUGCAGAAGACAUUGCAGUGGGACUGGCUACUGAGAAGGCCUGCACCUGGCUGGCAACCAACAUCACAGCACUGAUCAAAAGAGAAGUGAGAACUACCUUUAAUCGAAUGUUGAGAGUCCAGGGGCCUUCCUUGCCCAGUGAGGAUGCACAGGGGGAGAGGAAAGGUUGUACCCCCGACUGCCAGCACCAUGCUCCGUUCCCCUCUCAGAUCAUCAAUGAGAUCAAAGACGUGCUCUGUAUUGCUGUGGGACCCAGGGAUGAAGAUGAAGGAAUUCCCUAUGUCCAGCUGGAGUGCUUGCUGAAAAGACUGAGCCAAACACUUCAGUGCAGAAAGUUCAUGUGUCCCACCUCGGAGCAGCAGCUGGCUAGGUGCACUGUAGAGUUGGCAUCUCUCCUAGUUUCAGAUCGUGUUCCUAUCCAGGGCCUUAAGCCUCAGAUCCAGAAGAAACCUGAAAGACAGCAAGGGAAGAAGAAUGCUGUCUACGGCCUUCUGAAAUCGCUGCUGUCAGUUUGGAAGGAAGACUUUGGGACAUCUGUUCCCGUUCAGCUGAUGUUCAGCAGGAAGAAUGUCGGCUACAUCGCAGAAGUCAAGCAACGUGAGUGGGAUUUGUUCCUGUUUAUGCUUAAUGGUCUUGUUGGUCAUGGUCUCAUGGCAAAUGCAGAGAUAGAGAACUGCUUGCAUAGCCUCCAAGAACUUCUCUGGUCCUCAGUAAGUAUUUGUUUCAUUUAAUAUUCAGGCAUGAAUAUGAGAAUGCUGUGUCAGUUUGGCUUUUAGCUUUAAUUUUUUUGUACCCCUCUCUCAAAGACCUAGGCCCAGAUUCUUGUCUAUGCAGAGUUUCUGCUUGGUGCAUUAUAAAGUGUGUGUGUGUGUGGGGCUGUCUUAGGCUGGAUCUGUGCCUGCCCUGCUCCAGUAUAGAUUAGAAAACCUGCCACUAUACCAGCUGACAAUGGUCUCCAAGAAACCAUAAACUAGCUGGAGAUAGCUGGAGAUAGCUGAAGUGCAGCACACCUGGCUGGGCUCACAGGGGGCUGGGUAUGUUGGCUUUGCUCCAGCUCAGAACUUCUCUGUCAGGGGAAAUUCUCAGCUGGCAAGAUCCAGCUGCUUUUCAGCCUCUUUGCCAUCACCAUAAUGUACCAGAGAAUCUAGCCUGCUGGCUAGAUGUUUCAAAUGUGGGAGCUUCAAGUUAGUCUUCUGCCUAAAUGUGGUCUGAUUUUUUUUGAUGUGCUCAGCACCCAUAAAUCCCACUGCGGUUAAUGGAAACUGCAGGUGCUCAGUACCUUUAAGAAUCAGGCAGUGAUUUUUAGGUGCCGAUAUCAGGUUAGUAUAUAAACUAAGAUGGUCAAAGGGAAGGCUUGGUGUGCAAAUCAAUGAUCUUAUCACUUCAGCAGCUGUGGUCUCUUUCACUCUGCUUUAACUGUUUUUACUGGUAUAGCCUGUGUCAUAUUAAUAUCCCAACGCAAAACUUUGACCCCAUUUUUGCUUAUGAAAUCUCAACUUUAUAUUAUUCAAAAGAAGUUUGACCAUCUUUUAAAAGUGUGAACCAAGGGAUACACUGAUUUGCAUUGUUUGUUGCAGGAUUUCUUGGAAGAAUUGGAAACUAUCUCUAGAAUAUUUAUAUCAGAGUAUCAUGUUGCAGAACCCAGGACUAGGCCUUGUGAAUUGGUGAGACAACCAAGAGGUACUGUUGCAGCAGAAAGCUAGUGCAGACAAUCUAAGGAGAACUCGACAUGUGGAAUUUGAUAAUGCUGCUGAGUCCAUGCAGUAAGCUUCUUGCUUGGAUCACAAUGCAUUGAAGGGUCACUUGUGCAAAAACUGCAUCAAACUUUCCCUUGGAGUCACUAGGUGUGACAGGAACACAGAGUUUGGAGGGGUUUACAUCUGCAAAUGGAAAUGCUUCUAAAAGUUGCUCUCUAAGUUUGGAACUCUUUUAAGAACCUGACUGUGGUUCACAGCCGAUCUAUACUUGUAGUGGAAACACAUCUUGUACUCCUGCAGCAAGAGGCUCUGAACAGAGUCUGGAAUCCAUUCUAGUGCACAAAACCUGCUACAUUGCUGGAGGGAUUUCUGGUGGUUUCCCAAGGUGCCAUCUCUUAUCUUAACUUAGUGUGAUUUCUUAUGGACUCUUUUUAGAAAAUACACUGUGCUACCAGGAGAGGGAAGAAGUCAAACUAUAGCCCAAGGAGAUGGAGGGAUAUUUAUUUUUCACCAUGAGCUCAAGCUUGAAGGUUUGUUUUUUAAAAUUUUUUAAGACUCAUUUUAAAAGUAAAAUCACAAAAAUAUUUUGGAGCAUUGGAUCAGAUACUAUUUUAAAGGACAUUCAUGCCUAUGUUUAUGUCUCACUUAACAAAAGCAGCACUUGUAUUUCAUGGUUUUUAUAGAAUUGAGGGGGAGAUUAUCUGGUUAUCUUUUUUAUGAGGGAGAGCUGACAGUAUUUUAAGAGGCAUUGGUUUUGUAGUGUGAGCAUAAAUGCCAUGUAUCUGUUACUCACUGUCUUUAAAAUCCUUAUUGCCUUGAGUUUGGGGUUCUUACAUAGAAAGACUUGUGCGUGAUAAGCACAGACUAGAGUAACUAGAUUGGAAAUGUAACAAAACUCCCAAGAAAUAGGAUCACUAGGAUGUUGGAAGGAAGCAGUCCUAGUCAUGGCAUGCUGCUGAGUGCUGUCCAUCCUCAUGGAUCCACCUUAAAAGGGAAACUGUCAAUAAGGAGGGGCUGCUAAUUUUCAGUAUCUUAAAUACAAUGUUCCAAGUGUUAGGGGGACAGGGUUUUUAAUAAGAUUAGUCACUCAUCAGAGAGUUUGCAUAGGAUUUGCCUCCCUGUAUAAGGAAGGAUUUUUUUUUUCUUUUUGCCGAACAGGUUGAUGGAAUGUCUUUUCCUCACUAAAUACAGGUUACUCAAAAGCAAAUAUUGUGUUACAUAAGCAAGACAGCUAGACAUGGUGAAUCCUAGGCUGUUUGUAUGGCUAUUUCUAUUGCUAAUUAGCCUCUCUUGCUGGUAUGGGUAGGAAUUCCUGGGGUAGAAAAUGAACUGUCAAGGAGUUAAAUUGUUUAAAAAUAAGACUACAUAAAUCUGGCUACUAUUAAAAUCUACUGGACACAGAGAAAAUGAGGGAAACCAAAGAGGACAAUGUGUAUGUUGCAACUGUUUUGGGUAGUUUUGUCACCUACUCAGACUGUUUGGGUGCUGGACUGAAGGAGACUGCAGAUGCCAGGUGUCUGUCUUGUCAGUGUUUUUUGUUUCCUGUCAUCGUGCUCAGGUUGUUCAGUAAUACCAUAUCAUGUGAACAGAAUGUGUGGACAGGAACAGCUGCCACAGUAUGAACUGAAAGAACAGGUGUGCUUCAUGCCUACACACACUCGCUCUUCAAGGCUCAGUAUAGCAUGACCAUUUCACUGUUGAUAUCUCAGUGAAGCUGUCAGAUUUGCUGUAAUAAACAGAUUAUCAAAA